This is a non-coding RNA of Leptonychotes weddellii (Weddell seal), 2600 nucleotides long. The record is from RefSeq and is a predicted model, not a curated record. NCBI's taxonomy places the organism in Eukaryota, Metazoa, Chordata, Mammalia, Carnivora, Phocidae.
UUGAAAGAUGGUAAAAAUAAGACAGACAGGAAAGAUCAAUCUAAUGUCGGAAGUGAUUCAAAGAAAACAGAUGGCACGAAGAAGCACUCUCAUGGCUCACCAGCUCCAAGCACUAGCUCCGCAAGUCGCCUUGCCUUGCCAGGGGACUACGGAUAAAACGUUCAUCCAGAGGAUUCCUCAGAAGAGAACUGACCAGCUCUGAGUCAUCAAGGCUCCUCUGCGUCAUUUUAAACGCCCUGCUUAUGCAUCUAGCUCCUACGCACCUUCGGUCCCAAAGAAAACUGAUGAGCAUCCUGCGAGGUACAAGAUGCUGGAUCAGAGGAUCAAAAUGAAAAAAAUUCAGACUAUCUCACAUAACUGGAACAGAAAAUAGGUCAAGGGGAAGAGAGGGAGUGAAGGAGAGGCCCACUCCUCUGCCUGUCAGCACUCACCAGCCACAGUGGAAUAUGCUUCCAAGACCUUUGGAGGCUUUGGGGGCUGGUGCUUUUUGGUCGACUCCACCGAGGCAAAGUGAAGGCCGUAUGUGAUUUUCCCCUCUGUUGUUCUGUUAUGGACCCAUCCGUCACUGGAUCUGGGAGUCAGUGCAGACUCCGGUAGUAAGAGGGUAGUCUCGUGUGGCUUUUAUUUGUAUAGAUCUUUCAAAGUCUAAAUCAGACCCAAAUUAAAAUGAUGCACCCUCUUUAGAAAAUUCCUCCCACUGACACUUCUUUUAUCCCUAGAAGCUGACUUGCCCUAGUAAGAAUAUUGGUUUAAUAAUCAUCGUAUUUAAGAAAUGCACCUCUUAAAACAUCUUUUCCAAUUUUAACUACAAUAGGAAAAGAUGUUUUUAGAAGUGCAUUCCUUAAAUACGGUGAUUAUUACAAUAUUUAAAAUACAGGUAAAUAUGUAACUUUCAAAGUAAACCCAUUAAAGUUAAAAGUUGUGUUUCUGAAUGUAACAAUUGCAGAGGGCAAAGAAGACUGAUGUGCAGUUGAGUUCAUGGAGAAUGCUGAACUGAGGCUUCGCAAAGCAGAUACAAGUCAGAAAUAAAGACACUUGCUUUGGUUUUCAUUGCAUGCUUCAUGCCUGGUGGCCUCAUUUUGUACCUUUAGAGAUGUGAGAGUUUGUAGGAGAUACAUUUUGGCUCUACUUCUUCUAAUUUGUUACUUUCACUUACAUUUGACAAUGCUAGAAAUCAAUGGGAUGCCCAUGCCUCAGAGACUCCAGGUUUGAGAUAUACCCGAGGAAAUGUCCCUUUGGUCUUGUGGUCCUAGGGCAGGAGGGUGUAAAUUCCUGAACCUAAUUUGAAUCCCUUACUUGCAGAUUUUUCUUCAUUAAGUUGGAGAUACCUCUAAGUUAAAUUUCAGAUCAAUUUUCUAGCAGACCCUAUAGCUGAGGCCCUUUGGAAUCUCAGUGCUCUCACAGCUCUUGCUGGAAUGGAAGUUGAUAACUCACCUCUCUUCACUGCGGCAUUUUUAGCUCUUCUGAAUCUCUCCUGGACUUUUUACUUUGGGACUAAAAUCACACAAAAUGGUAAGGAAAUGUUCAAGGCCAUAAAUAGCUUUUGAUCCCUUCAGAAAUGCUCUGGUGCAGUGGAAAACUUCAGGUUUGUUGUCUGGCAGUCCUGAUCACCAAUUCUGUCCCAUCUAUAACUAGUUGCACGUUCUCAGUCUAAUGGCAUAACCGUUAAAAUCCUCAGUUUGCUUAAUUAGAAAGUUGGAUUCAUAAUACCCACAGCCUUUUGUGGUGAAGAUUGAGGAUAACAUAGGUUUGGAUUGUUAUUGCUGAACUCGGUGAGUAAUAGGGAGCACGACCGAUGUAACUAGGAACCUUCCACAUCCAGAAAGAACUCUCAGGAACCCCUGCAACCCCUGGGCUGAUGAUCACAGCGUUUGGGGUCUGAUUGUAAAGGGUUUGGUGUGCUCUCCUUCCCUCUUUCGCCCCAGCUCACUUCCAGUAAACCACAGUUAUGCAAGUUGAGCCAGCUCCAGAGUUUAGUCCACCAUGCUAUUGAGCAAUUUACUUAUAACGUGCCUGACGGUGGUAUUUCAGGGAAAUUUAAUUACUAUACAAAAAGGAAAAUCACUGUGACUUUUUGUUAGGAAAGCAAUUGUAAUUCUUAACUCCCUGCUCAGUGCCGGAGUAAAAGGAUCCUUCUGCAGGCUCACAGUGUCUGUUCCGCCUGAAGUAGGUUAACUCCACACGUAAUUCCUCCCUGUUUGUAUAGAUGCCUCAAUGCUUGCUUCACAGAACCAUUUAGGAGUGAAACUGCCCAUGGGUAGUGGGGCCUCCUGGCGGCCCAGUGGAUCUUCGGUGAUGUUCCUCAAAUCUCCCCCAAUACUUUCAGUCUUAGGCAUUGAAGCAUCAAGGUGGCUGUGCUUUCUCCACUGUGCUUCUUGACAUUAGAAGCCAUGACUCUAGUGAAGAAAGUUGGCUCUUUCUGCAUUCUUUUAUCCCAGGAUGCUAUUUUUCAGCUUUGGCUAAUAUGUUGAUUGAACAAAUGUACAGAUAUUGAGAUUCUGCUUUGCUUGUAAAAUGCCUACCAUGUUUUUUGCAUGAUGGAUUGUAUAGAAAUGCCAGAUUAUAUUCUUAUAGCAAAUAAAAAGAUGCUUUUAAAGGGC